GCCUUAAAUCUCAAAUUUAUACAAAUUUUAUAAAUAAAACUGAAUGGGGAUACAUAAUAGGGGAAAUGUAUACAAAAUAAUCAGUCCCACACAGGGAUAUGACCCUAAACUAUGCCUCCACGAAAGAUCCUUCUGCUUUCUUGAUUUGUUGUCAUCCCCGGGUGCCAAUAUCUUCGAAUAUGCUAGUAGCCGGUGAAGCUCUUUCUUUAACCUAAGCAAACUAUAACUUAAUUUUUACCCUAUGAGACAAUGAUUUUCUCAAACAACGUAUACACCCUUCAAAUUUAAACACAUAAGUAUGAACGUCCAUUUAGGCAGUGGACUGUUUUAGACUCAAGGUGGUCUUCUAAUGGGCUCAACACGCCUUGGGUAUUGAGUCAUCUUAGUUCAAAUGGCGCUAUUUUCGGAAUUUGGCUCGGCUCUACACUAGUUGACUAGGAGUGGGUUUUAUUUUGAGUGGAAAAGGUGAUCCAAGCGGACUACUUGGGUUGGGACAGUUAAUGAUCGUUGACUAUCAAGUAGCCAACUACACUCGUCAGGGUGUCCCGAGAAAAUCUUUGGUUAAUGAACGACUGCGAACCUGCAUAAUCGUCCUUUAGUGAAAAUGAAAUAAUUAUCGUUUGACGGAAAAUAUUAUGCCAUGAAUGCAAUGAUAAUAUACCAACAACAAGAUAAAUA
RNAcentral lists this unclassified non-coding RNA (678 nucleotides) under Hevea brasiliensis (rubber tree). Lineage: Eukaryota; Viridiplantae; Streptophyta; Magnoliopsida; Malpighiales; Euphorbiaceae. The record is from RNAcentral.